Molecule: ribosomal RNA, 844 nt
Filed under: uncultured Megasphaera sp.
Lineage: Bacteria; Bacillati; Bacillota; Negativicutes; Veillonellales; Veillonellaceae
Description: bacterial SSU rRNA
Rfam family: Bacterial small subunit ribosomal RNA
Source: RNAcentral
GAACGAGAGCGUAGAGAAAGCUUGCUUUUUCUACAAUCUAGUGGCAAACGGGUGAGUAACGCGUAAACAACCUGCCCUACGGAUGGGGACAACAGCUGGAAACGGCUGCUAAUACCGAAUACGUUCCGAAAGUCGCAUGACUGUCGGAAGAAAGGAUGGCCUCUAUUUAUAAGCUAUCGCCGGAGGAGGGGUUUGCGUCUGAUUAGCUAGUUGGAGGGGUAACGGCCCACCAAGGCGACGAUCAGUAGCCGGUCUGAGUGGAUGAACGGCCACAUUGGAACUGAGACACGGUCCAGACUCCUACGGGAGGCAGCAGUGGGGAAUCUUCCGCAAUGGGCGAAAGCCUGACGGAGCAACGCCGCGUGAGUGAAGACGGCCUUCGGGUUGUAAAGCUCUGUUAUACGGGACGAAAAGUCUUGUGGUUAAUACCCAUAAGAAGUGACGGUACCGUAAGAGAAAGCCACGGCUAACUACGUGCCAGCAGCCGCGGUAAUACGUAGGUGGCAAGCGUUGUCCGGAAUUAUUGGGCGUAAAGGGCGCGCAGGCGGCUUCUUAAGUCUGUCUUAAAAGUGCGGGGCUUAACCCCGUGAUGGGAUGGAAACUGGGAAGCUCAGAGUAUCGGAGAGGAAAGCGGAAUUCCUAGUGUAGCGGUGAAAUGCGUAGAUAUUAGGAGGAACACCAGUGGCGAAAGCGGCUUUCUGGACGAAAACUGACGCUGAGGCGCGAAAGCCAGGGGAGCGAACGGGAUUAGAUACCCCGGUAGUCCUGGCCGUAAACGAUGGGUACUAGGUGUAGGAGGUAUCGACCCCUUCUGUGCCGGAGUUAACGCAAUAAGUACCCCGCC